ACCAUGAAGCGUUUUUUUCGGAACGAGACGUAGUACACUGUCCUGAGUGAACUUCUCUUUCAUUAGACGGAGAGUUCUAAAUGCCGGUCACAGCUACCUCUGUCCUAAGGGCACAAGUGUGACAUGGAUUUUGGAGUCCCCACCCACCAGCCCCCUUCCCAGCUGUCUCUCAUGCCCCUCUCACCCCGUGGAGUUCAUCCGGGGCCCCCCCGUGGACAGGCCACGCCCGGCGUACAGAGGGGACGGCGAGGCCCAGGUGCUUCUGGGAGUGAAGAGCCGUGACCUACAGCAGCCUGCAAAGUUUCGCCGCCCCCGGCUACCGCCACCCCCCCGUCGGCGGCACCGCAGCCUGACGUCAGGGACCGGGCGCGCUCAGCGUGUGGAACAAGGCGACCGCAGCCUCGACCGCGCCCGGUCAUUUCCUCAAACCCGAAGCGUGUCUAACUGAAUCUGUCCCGCCUUUUUAAAGACAUUAUUUGAUAGGGAUUCCCCUUACAACAGUAAGAGACAUUUUUUUGGACACUGAAUGUGUUGAACCAUAAAAAAAUAGGAAAACAGAAUCGGUGCAGUUCCACUGCAAAAUCAGCACGCCAAUAUGAUGCCUGUAAAUCAGUCUUUUUGUGUUUAAAUACUGGUAUUGUGCUGCUUUGAAACCGUGUUUUUUUUCUUUCUUUUUUUUUGUUUUGUAUUUUUAAAAUAUUGACAUUUGUUUUUGUUUAGUCGUAACAAAAAAAAAUUAGCAUACAAGACUUAGAUUUGCCUUAACUAUGUUUUAGCCUCAUUUUUGGAUGAGUACAAAAAAUCUUAUGUUCUUUACAUUAAAGAGCAAUUUCAUGUGCAAUGUGCAUGACACCUAUAAAUGGAAAUUAGUGGAAAAUGCUGCUUCAAAUGAAUAUUGUAGUAUUUAUUUACUAUCAAAAUCCACUAUAUUUUAAGUUCUAAUUUUUUUAGGUUUUCAGUGUAAUUUGUCAUUACAAAUUUGUGAUACAUCAGCGACCAUAAUAAAGGAACAGCUUGGUGGGUGAGGUGAUAUUACAAGUGAAUGGGUGACAGUGUAGCAUAAUUGUUAAGGAACUGGACUCAUAACGUUUGCAGGUUUGAUUCCCGGUUGAGACACUGCUGUUGUCCC
Molecule: long non-coding RNA, 1129 nt
Organism: Anguilla anguilla (European eel)
Lineage: Eukaryota; Metazoa; Chordata; Actinopteri; Anguilliformes; Anguillidae
Exons: 3
Source: RefSeq, a predicted model, not a curated record